RNAcentral lists this small RNA (1536 nucleotides) under Rattus norvegicus (Norway rat). RNAcentral's name for it is "uncharacterized LOC102548124". Lineage: Eukaryota; Metazoa; Chordata; Mammalia; Rodentia; Muridae. The record is from RNAcentral.
CUGGGAUCAAAGGCAUGCGCAACCACUGUCAGGCUUCGCCGUCUUAUUUCUUUAGGACGAGUCUUUUGCUGGAUCUGGGGCUUUAUUGUCUGGCCAACAGAUAGCCAUCUCUUUCCACCUCCCCAAAACUGGGGCUCGGAGCACACCGCAUCGUUCCUUACGUGGGUGCUGGGGAUUGAACUCAGGGCUUCUUGCUUGCAUCUUUUUACGCGUUUGGUGCCCUAAUCCAUAUCCCAACAGCCACAGAAAACCAUCACACUGGAUCUUCACUUUAUAGACCCACAUAGGGAGGUUAGUUAGGCCCCACUUUAGUCCUCCAGGAAUAGGAGAUUAAGUCCAGGUCUACUGCUCAUUAUUGGCAUUCAUAAAAGUGUUAAUUAUCUUCCUGUGCCUCAGCUUUCCCAGCUGAGAAAUGGGGCUAACGAUAAUACCUACCUCCCUCUCCCUCUGAGGAUUAAAUGUUUUCACGCCUGUCGAAUGAAGCCUAGAACGGUGUGGGACUUGGGGACAAGCCAACAUUUGCUCUAGUCCUACCCCCCCUGGUCCGGUCCACUUCAGCUUUUACAAGUCACCUCCCUUCCAUCAGCAUAUUCAAAUGGGCAGCUUCCUACACCAGGCAGGUGUCCUCUGGAGCUAGAGCUGAAAGGUUUGCAGACAGUAUCCUCCCUAGCGGGUCAUCUUGGAGAGCACUUUCUCCCGGCUCUGGAUGAGGAAGGCAGGACUGCUCUGCUGUGUUCCUGAAGAGAUCUUUCAGCUUCCUGAAACCACGUCUGGCUCAGAAUCACUGCUUAGUCCCCGCCAGCAAGGACCACACUCAGGCAUUCCAGACGUUAGUGUAACCCUAAGUGUCGGAAUCUGUGGUUUUGAAGGCAACACCUCGUCCUGCAGUCUCUGUUGGCAGCUGCGGGGGGCUUCUCAGAGGAACCGGUUUAAUGGAAGCUAAGUUAGAGGGGCUUCUGCAUGAGCAGGCAGUUUGAUGGAAGCUAAGACUCACUCUGUAGACCUUUGCCAGUCUCUGUCCUCCAAGUGCUGGGAUUGAAGGCAUGCUCCCUGGCUACCAGAGUUCAAAGUCUAAGUACGGUCUCUGCUUCAGCUUUCAAGCACUACGGUUCCAGACGUAUAUAACUAAUGAUUUCUUAGAGGUCCCACCCCACUCUCAACAUUGUUGCACUGGGGAUUAAAUUUCUGGCACAUAAACUGAUACAAACCAACGGCACCAGAGCAGAUCUAAGAGUCUUUCUCAGGAGCUCAGCGGUGGAAGCACUCGUCUCUCAGGGAAGUUUAGCUUCCAGGGAAACAGAAGAAUGACCUGACACAUCUGGAGGAAUGUCCGUAUCAGCCAGGAAGCAUAAAACGUCAUCUGUGGACUGUGAACAAGACUCUGUGGUCUGUGAACAAGAGACUAAAAUACUUCUUUUACCUGGCAAUUCAAAUGGAGGGCACAGAUGUAUUUUUAAGUAUCCAGCGCCCUCUGCUGUUGGCAGCUAGAAAUGCACAAAGAGAUCAAUUUCAUUAAAAACAUUAUUUGUGUGUGUA